Molecule: ribosomal RNA, 497 nt
Filed under: uncultured bacterium
Lineage: Bacteria
Description: partial 16S ribosomal RNA
Rfam family: Bacterial small subunit ribosomal RNA
Source: RNAcentral
GAUGAACGCUGGCGGCGUGCCUAAUACAUGCAAGUCGAGCGAACGGACGAGAAGCUUGCUUCUCUGAUGUUAGCGGCGGACGGGUGAGUAACACGUGGAUAACCUACCUAUAAGACUGGGAUAACUUCGGGAAACCGGAGCUAAUACCGGAUGAUAUUUUGAACCGCAUGGUUCAAAAGUGAAAGACGGUCUUGGUGUCACUUAUAGAUGGAUCCGCGCUGCAUUAGCUAGUUGGUAAGGUAACGGCUUACCAAGGCAACGAUGCAUAGCCGACCUGAGAGGGUGAUCGGCCACACUGGAACUGAGACACGGUCCAGACUCCUACGGGAGGCAGCAGUAGGGAAUCUUCCGCAAUGGGCGAAAGCCUGACGGAGCAACGCCGCGUGAGUGAUGAAGGUCUUCGGAUCGUAAAACUCUGUUAUUAGGGAAGAACAUAUGUGUAAGUAACUGUGCACAUCUUGACGGUACCUAAUCAGAAAGCCACGGCUAACUACGUG